RNAcentral lists this ribosomal RNA (635 nucleotides) under uncultured ciliate. Its description in RNAcentral is "SSU rRNA". It matches the Rfam family "Eukaryotic small subunit ribosomal RNA", at positions 326 to 971 of the family's 1831-position model. Lineage: Eukaryota; Ciliophora. The record is from RNAcentral.
UGGUAGUGUAUUGGACAACCAUGGCGAUCACGGGUAACGGGGAAUUAGGGUUCGAUUCCGGAGAGGGAGCCUGAGAAAUGGCUACCACAUCUAAGGAAGGCAGCAGGCGCGUAAAUUACCCAAUCCUAAUUCAGGGAGGUAGUGACAAGAAAUAACAACUCGGGCCUCACACGAGGUUACGAGAUUGCAAUGAGGACAAUUUAAACCACUUAUCGAGUAACAAUUGGAGGGCAAGUCUGGUGCCAGCAGCCGCGGUAAUUCCAGCUCCAAUAGCGUAUAUUAAAGUUGUUGCAGUUAAAAAGCUCGUAGUUGAAUUUCUGGCCGGACCUAUUCUUGGCUCUCGUAGUCGGCUUAGGUCUUGGUCAUCCGUAUGGGAAGCUAGCUCGGCCUUCACUGGUCGGUUAGUGGAUCAUACACUUUACUUUGAAAAAAUUAGAGUGUUUCAGGCAGGCAAUUGCUUGGAUACUGCAGCAUGGAAUAAUGGAAUAGGACUUUGACCUAUUUGUUGGUUUCUUCGAGGUCAAAGUAAUGAUUAAUAGGGACAGUUGGGGGCAUUCGUAUUUAAUUGUCAGAGGUGAAAUUCUUGGAUUUAUUAAAGACGAACUUAUGCGAAAGCAUUUGCCAAGGAUGUUUUC